CAGUCGAACGAACUUCCGUUAAUUGAUUAUGACGUACUUGUACUGAUUGAGAUUUUAACACGAAGUGAGUGGCGAACGGGUGAGUAACACGUGGGUAACCUGCCCAGAAGUAGGGGAUAACACCUGGAAACAGAUGCUAAUACCGUAUAACAGAGAAAACCGCAUGGUUUUCUUUUAAAAGAUGGCUCUGCUAUCACUUCUGGAUGGACCCGCGGCGUAUUAGCUAGUUGGUGAGGUAAAGGCUCACCAAGGCAGUGAUACGUAGCCGACCUGAGAGGGUAAUCGGCCACAUUGGGACUGAGACACGGCCCAGACUCCUACGGGAGGCAGCAGUAGGGAAUCUUCCACAAUGGACGCAAGUCUGAUGGAGCAACGCCGCGUGAGUGAAGAAGGGUUUCGGCUCGUAAAGCUCUGUUGUUAAAGAAGAACGUGGGUAAGAGUAACUGUUUACCCAGUGACGGUAUUUAACCAGAAAGCCACGGCUAACUACGUGCCAGCAGCCGCGGUAAUACGUAGGUGGCAAGCGUUAUCCGGAUUUAUUGGGCGUAAAGCGAGCGCAGGCGGUCUUUUAAGUCUAAUGUGAAAGCCUUCGGCUCAACCGAAGAAGUGCAUUGGAAACUGGGAGACUUGAGUGCAGAAGAGGACAGUGGAACUCCAUGUGUAGCGGUGAAAUGCGUAGAUAUAUGGAAGAACACCAGUGGCGAAGGCGGCUGUCUGGUCUGCAACUGACGCUGAGGCUCGAAAGCAUGGGUAGCGAACAGGAUUAGAUACCCUGGUAGUCCAUGCCGUAAACGAUGAUUACUAAGUGUUGGAGGGUUUCCGCCCUUCAGUGCUGCAGCUAACGCAUUAAGUAAUCCGCCUGGGGAGUACGACCGCAAGGUUGAAACUCAAAAGAAUUGACGGGGGCCCGCACAAGCGGUGGAGCAUGUGGUUUAAUUCGAAGCUACGCGAAGAACCUUACCAGGUCUUGACAUCUUCUGACAGUCUAAGAGAUUAGAGGUUCCCUUCGGGGACAGAAUGACAGGUGGUGCAUGGUUGUCGUCAGCUCGUGUCGUGAGAUGUUGGGUUAAGUCCCGCAACGAGCGCAACCCUUAUUACUAGUUGCCAGCAUUAAGUUGGGCACUCUAGUGAGACUGCCGGUGACAAACCGGAGGAAGGUGGGGACGACGUCAAAUCAUCAUGCCCCUUAUGACCUGGGCUACACACGUGCUACAAUGGAUGGUACAACGAGUCGCGAGACCGCGAGGUUAAGCUAAUCUCUUAAAACCAUUCUCAGUUCGGACUGUAGGCUGCAACUCGCCUACACGAAGUCGGAAUCGCUAGUAAUCGCGGAUCAGCAUGCCGCGGUGAAUACGUUCCCGGGCCUUGUACACACCGCCCGUCACACCAUGAGAGUUUGUAACACCCAAAGCCGGUGGG
RNAcentral lists this ribosomal RNA (1419 nucleotides) under Pediococcus pentosaceus. RNAcentral describes it as "bacterial SSU rRNA". It matches the Rfam family "Bacterial small subunit ribosomal RNA", at positions 59 to 1434 of the family's 1533-position model. Lineage: Bacteria; Bacillati; Bacillota; Bacilli; Lactobacillales; Lactobacillaceae. The record is from RNAcentral.